GGGGCCGACAGGUUUCGACGGCGGUUUAUCUCAUCCAGCUGGCACGUCGGGAAUGCAGAGUAUCCCGUAAAAGGCCUUUGCAAGACUAUAAGUGCCAAGAAUAUAAAUCGCACUGAGUUCGCUCUCGCCGCCUAGUUUGCGGUAAGACUUACUCCCUCCGCUCAUUUCGCCUUAAAGAAAGCGGGGAUGAUAAUUUUAAAGGCUUGCCUCCGCGCCGGAGCUUACGGGCGCAGGGGGACUUUUUGAAAGCUAAGCCGUCUGUAGAUUGUCUGUAGAGAUACAGAGGCUGAAAAACUGACUAUACGGACUAAACGUGUAGAAGGCUGGAUAGGGAACCGUCGGACCCGGGUUCAACUCCCGGCGACUCCACUA
RNAcentral lists this transfer-messenger RNA (372 nucleotides) under Bifidobacteriaceae. RNAcentral's name for it is "RGIG1476 sp017632855 Standard tmRNA". It matches the Rfam family "transfer-messenger RNA". Rfam says of the family: Bacterial tmRNA, also known as 10Sa RNA or SsrA, is named for its dual tRNA and mRNA-like properties. Its role is to liberate the mRNA from a stalled ribosome. The record is from RNAcentral. Lineage: Bacteria; Bacillati; Actinomycetota; Actinomycetes; Bifidobacteriales. RNAcentral also lists the same sequence under 1 other name.